GAUGAACGUUGGCGGCGUGCUUAACACAUGCAAGUCGAACGAAGAACUUGUAGCAAUACGGGUUCUUAGUGGCGAAUGGGUGAGUAACACGUAGGUGACCUGCCCUAGAGUGGGGAAUAACAGUCCGAAAGGAUUGCUAAUACCCCAUACAGUCCCGGAGGUUAGAGUCUCUGGGUCCAAAGCAGCAAUGCGCUUUAGGAGGGGCCUGCGGUCCAUCAGCUAGAUGGUGGGGUAACGGCCUACCAUGGCGACGACGGAUAGGGGACCUGAGAGGGUGGCCCCCCACACUGGAACUGACACACGGUCCAGACUCCUACGGGAGGCAGCAGUGGGGAAUAUUGGUCAAUGGGCGAAAGCCUGAACCAGCAACGCCGCGUGUGCGAUGAAGGCCUUCGGGUCGUAAAGCACUUUUCGAGAGGAUGAGGAAGGACAGUACUCUCGGAAUAAGUCACGGCUAACUACGUG
This 465-nucleotide ribosomal RNA is filed under the name uncultured organism. RNAcentral's name for it is "bacterial SSU rRNA". It matches the Rfam family "Bacterial small subunit ribosomal RNA", at positions 28 to 507 of the family's 1533-position model. The record is from RNAcentral.